This 274-nucleotide ribosomal RNA is filed under the name uncultured bacterium. RNAcentral describes it as "partial 16S ribosomal RNA". It matches the Rfam family "Bacterial small subunit ribosomal RNA", at positions 523 to 796 of the family's 1533-position model. The record is from RNAcentral.
AUACGGAGGGUCCAAGCGUUAAUCGGAAUUACUGGGCGUAAAGCGUACGUAGGUGGCUUGAUUAGUCGGAUGUGAAAGCCCCGGGCUCAACCUGGGAACUGCAUUCGAUACUGGCAAGCUAGAGUAUAGUAGAGGCAAGUGGAAUUCCGGGUGUAGCGGUGAAAUGCGUAGAUAUCCGGAGGAACAUCAGUGGCGAAGGCGACUUGCUGGACUAAUACUGACGCUGAGGAGCGAAAGCGUGGGGAGCAAACGGGAUUAGAAACCCCAGUAGUCC